GAUACAUACAUUUGAGCGGCGCGGCAACACAGCAACUAUUUCCGACGAUAGAAUCGCGCUACGUUGCAACGAAAAAACCGGCCUCACAUAGCAGACGUAGGCGACCUGAACGGAACGCGGCAUCUAAGUGCGGACGAUUUCGUGUACCGCUCUAUAGCGUUCCUUUAUAUUUCGUCUCUCUCAUCUGGACCGCGAGGUCUCGUACAACAACGACUACCCGACCUGAAAAUGGCGACUGUUUUCUAUUUUUAUUUUAAUUUGUUCGAUGUAGUGUUUUUAUUGUAAAUAACAUGUCAGGUCGGAACAUGGAAGCGAUUGAUCGGGUCAUGUAGAGUAAGGAGAGGCUGAGCGGCAAGUACAUGUGAUAUUCAGCAUUUCAAUUGUGCCAGAACCUACAUUUUAUAUGUAUUUUAUCAAAGAAUUAUCAUAUCCACCCAGCGGCUGCCAUCAUCUUGGCUUGCUGAAGGAAAGCGAAUGCUUCUGCCCCUCUGACCGCUGGCACAAAGCGCAUAAGGAAACCCAACCCGACCAACCGGACCAACCAGCAGGGUCACGUGUCAGGUUACUUCCCCUCUCCAAUCUGUCGAUUCCAGCAAUAUUUGCGGUUUACUAACCCAAACUACAACGUGAUUCAAACCGCCAAAAAUCUGGUAUUGUUAUAUAUUUCAACCAACUCAACUUGUUAAAAUCCUGCCAAUUAAAUAAUUGUGAACAGCUGG
Molecule: long non-coding RNA, 719 nt
Organism: Dendroctonus ponderosae (mountain pine beetle)
Lineage: Eukaryota; Metazoa; Arthropoda; Insecta; Coleoptera; Curculionidae
Exons: 3
Source: RefSeq, a predicted model, not a curated record